GUAUUUGCUGGCCUCAGAGUUGAAACUUCUUGGGAUGGCUGGUUAAGACCUUGCCUUCCAAUGUGGGGGAUGUGGGUUUGAUCCCUGGUCAGGGAGCUAGCUAAGCUCCCACCUGCUUCAUGGCCAAAAAAACCCAAAACAUAACAACAAUGUAACAAAUUCAAGAAAGACUUUAAAAAUGGUCCACAUCACACACACACACACACACACACACACACACACACACACACACAAAUUUUUUUUUUAAGAAUUGAAACCUCUCUGGCCUGGCCUGUUCUAGAACCUGAGUGACGUGCAUGAUUCUAUUCUUCCCUAAGAUGUUUCCUGCCAGGAAGCUCCUGGACUCUCAUGGGUGUCAAGGCCUCUCUCUUCUAGACCUAGGUCCUGGUGAAGACACAGUCUGGCUAUUGGCAGAGCCCAGUCAGAGUCUCUGUUUUACAGUUGCCUUCUAUGCCUGCAAACCCACCUGUAGUACCUCUGUUGAAUCCCUUCAGACAGAUAGGCCCUCCUGGGACCACCCAUUUGACCUUUUAAAUUGCUUUCACUGCUAGAAAGUUCUUCCUUCAUUCACUUGACAAUUCUUUGUAGAAACCAUUCCUUAGUCUGAGACCCAGCCCUCUAUUCUGGGGACAGGCCAGGUGGGGGUCUCUGCUCACACAGAGUUUAAAUCUAAAUUGGGGGCGUGGAGGUAGAAAACACAGAGAAUACAAAUGAUAAUGAGAUGUUUGAAAAAAACUGAGCUUGGCGGGGAAGCUCCAGGAGGCAGAGGAUGAUACCUCGGAGGCUUCUCUGAGGAGGUGGUGUUCAGGGUGGAGACCUGGUCCACUGGGGACCAGAGGGAUCAACCAUGGGGAUGGUAAGGACAGAGGCUCCAAGAGCAGAAGAGUGAAUCUGGGAAGGAAGGCCCAUGGGCCUGGAACAGGCGCUGGGAAGGGACUUUGGCCUCCACUUAUGAAGGACGUGGGGCAGUGGGGAGGAAAGAAGUGGGAACUCUUGUUGUUCGGUCACUCAGUCACUCUUUGCAACCCCAUGGACUGCAGCAUGCCAGGCUUUCCUGUCCUUCACCAACUCCCGGAGUUUGCUCAGACUCAUGUCCAUUGAGUCGGUGAUGCCAUCCAACCAUCUCAUCCUCUGUCAUCCCCUUCUCUUCCUGCCUUCAAUCUUUCCCAGCUUCAGAGUCUUUUCCAGUGAGUCGGCUCUUCACAUCAAAGUACUGGAGCUUCAGCUUCAGAGUCCUCACUUUACAGGAAUCCUUCCUCUUUAGGGCAAAAACUGUCACCAUCUCCACCAGCAACACACUUCUCACCUCUCAUCAGCUGAUCCUUCUCCCCAGUACACCCCUCCACCCCAGCCUUCUGGCCCUGGGGAACGCCUCCUUAACUGUGAGAUCCCAUUCAAAAUUUCCCUCCUCUGAGAAGCUCCCACCUACAGGCAGAGGUGAUUGCUCCUCCCUGUCCUCCGAGGAGCUUUGUCCCCUCUGCUGGACAUUUCUCCCACUCUCAAGGUGACAGUAAGAGAGUGAGCUUGGAGGCAGACCCAGCCUGGCUCUACCUCAACAGCUGUGUGGCGUGGGAUAUUCAUUUCCUCUGCUGUUGUUUAGUCACUCAGUCAUGUCCUAUGAGACCCCAUGGACUGUAGCUCGCCAGGCUUCUCUGUCCAUGGGAUUUUGCAGAUUCUGGAAAAACCUGUCCAUGCCUCUCAACUAGCUUCUGGACACGGCUGGUAACCUUGGCCUUCCUUGACUGGUAGACACACGGCUCCAAUCUCUGCCUCCGUCUUCACGUGCCAUCUUCUCCCAUGUAUCUAUCUUCACCUGGUCCUCUCCUCUUUGUCUCUCUCCUCAUCUUAAAAGUUCACCAACCAUGUGGGAUCAAGGGACCAUCCCAUUCCAGUGUGAAUUUAUUUU
Bos taurus (domestic cattle) is the source of this 1906-nucleotide long non-coding RNA. The record is from Ensembl. Lineage: Eukaryota; Metazoa; Chordata; Mammalia; Artiodactyla; Bovidae.